Non-coding RNA from Stenotrophomonas chelatiphaga, 118 nucleotides. Lineage: Bacteria; Pseudomonadati; Pseudomonadota; Gammaproteobacteria; Lysobacterales; Lysobacteraceae. The record is from Rfam.
CCACCAUCGAGACCGGCAGAGGGACAGGCCCUUUGAAGCCGGGGCAGCCCGCAGGCGCGAAAGCGUCAGCGUAGGUGCCAAAUCCUGCGGGGACCCCGUGUCUACCGGAAGAUGGUUC